UGGCGGACGGGUGAGUAAUGUCUGGGAAACUGCCCGAUGGAGGGGGAUAACUACUGGAAACGGUAGCUAAUACCGCAUAACGUCGCAAGGCCAAAGAGGGGGACCUUCGGGCCUCUUGCCAUCGGAUGUGCCCAGAUGGGAUUAGCUAGUAGGUAAGGUAACGGCUUACCUAGGCGACGAUCCCUAGCUGGUCUGAGAGGAUGAUCAGCCACACUGGGACUGAGACACGGCCCAG
This 235-nucleotide ribosomal RNA is filed under the name uncultured bacterium. Its description in RNAcentral is "partial 16S ribosomal RNA". It matches the Rfam family "Bacterial small subunit ribosomal RNA", at positions 96 to 334 of the family's 1533-position model. The record is from RNAcentral.